AACGGAGAGUUUGAUCCUGGCUCAGAAUGAACGCUGGCGGCGUGCUUAACACAUGCAAGUCGAACGAGAAAGUUCCCUUCGGGGGAUAAGUAAAGUGGCGCACGGGUGAGUAACGCGUGGAUAAUCUGCCCUUGAAUUCGGAAUAACAUCGCGAAAGCGGUGCUAAUACCGGAUGAUGUUGUGUUUUCUGCGGGGAAUGCAACCAAAGAAUGCCUCUUCAUGAAAGCAUUUGUUUGAGGAUGAGUCCGCGUCCCAUUAGCUAGUUGGCGGGGUAACGGCCCACCAAGGCAGUGAUGGGUAGCUGGUCUGAGAGGAUGAUCAGCCACACUGGGACUGACACACGGCCCAGACUCCUACGGGAGGCAGCAGUGAGGAAUUUUGCGCAAUGGGGGAAACCCUGACGCAGCAACGCCGCGUGAGUGAAGAAGGCCCUUGGGUCGUAAAGCUCUGUCAAUGGGG
RNAcentral lists this ribosomal RNA (459 nucleotides) under Desulfobotulus mexicanus. Its description in RNAcentral is "bacterial SSU rRNA". It matches the Rfam family "Bacterial small subunit ribosomal RNA", at positions 1 to 444 of the family's 1533-position model. The record is from RNAcentral. Lineage: Bacteria; Pseudomonadati; Thermodesulfobacteriota; Desulfobacteria; Desulfobacterales; Desulfobacteraceae.